Molecule: ribosomal RNA, 330 nt
Filed under: uncultured bacterium
Lineage: Bacteria
Description: bacterial SSU rRNA
Rfam family: Bacterial small subunit ribosomal RNA
Source: RNAcentral
UGUGUAGGCGGUUUUCUAAGUUCGGUGUGAAAUCUCCCGGCUUAACUGGGAGGGUGCGCCGAAAACUGGAAGGCUUGAGUAUGGGAGAGGAAAGCGGAAUUCCUGGUGUAGCGGUGAAAUGCGUAGAUAUCAGGAGGAACACCUGCGGUGUAGACAGCUUUCUGGACCAUCACUGACGCUGAGACACGAAAGCGUGGGUAGCAAACAGGAUUAGAUACCCUGGUAGUCCACGCCCUAAACGAUGCAUACUUGGUGUGAGCCGUUCAUUCGGUUCGUGCCGGAGCUAACGCGUUAAGUAUGCCGCCUGGGGAGUACGGUCGCAAGGCUGAA